AACGAACGCUGGCGGCAUGCCUAACACAUGCAAGUCGAACGAGACCUUCGGGUCUGGUGGCUCACGGGUGCGUAACGUGUGGGAACCUGCCCUUAGGUUCGGAAUAACUCCCCGACAGGGGUGCUAAUACCGGAUAAUGUCUUCGGACCAAAGAUUUAUCGCCUUUGGAUGGGCCCGCGUUGGAUUAGCUAGUUGGUAGGGUAAAAGCCUACCAAGGCGACGAUACAUAGCUGGUCUGAGAGGAUGAUCAGCCACACUGGGACUGAGACACGGCCCAGACUCCUACGGGAGGCAGCAGUGGGGAAUAUUGGACUACGGGCUAAAGCCUGAUCCAGCUCUGCCGCGUGAGUGAUGAAGGCCGUAGGGUUGUACAGCCCUUUUACCCGGGAUGAUAAUGACAGUACCGGAAGAAUAAGCUCCGGCUAACUCCGUG
This 433-nucleotide ribosomal RNA is filed under the name uncultured bacterium. RNAcentral's name for it is "partial 16S ribosomal RNA". It matches the Rfam family "Bacterial small subunit ribosomal RNA", at positions 29 to 507 of the family's 1533-position model. The record is from RNAcentral.